UAUGCGGAUCUCCAUUAUGGAUACUUCGGUGUUCAUAUGGAACUGCAUAAGCAGGUGAAACUUCUUAGAGGAACUGGCGCUUAAAAAAGCGCACGAGAAAGAGCAAUAACAGGUCUGUGAUGCCCUAAGAUGUCCGGGGCCGCACGCGUGCUACAAUGACGAUGCUAUUGAGUAUGAUUUACUGGUCCGAAAGGAUUGGUAAAACUGUUCAAUCAUCGUCAUGUCUGGGAUUGGGGUUUGUAAUUAUCCCCCAUGAACCAGGAAUUCCUAGUAAGCACAAGUCAUAAGCUUGUGCUGAUUACGUCCCUGCCCUUUGUACACACCGCCCGUCGCUACUACCGAUUGAAUGGUUUAGCAAGGUCAUUGGAUUGAGUCUUUGUGGUUCACGCUGCAUUGAUUUGAAAAGAUGGCCGAACUUGAUCAUUUAGAGGAAGUAAAAGUCGUAACAAGGUUUCCGUAGGUGAACCUGCGGAAGGAUCAUUA
This is a ribosomal RNA of 483 nucleotides. It matches the Rfam family "Eukaryotic small subunit ribosomal RNA", at positions 1360 to 1831 of the family's 1831-position model.